RNAcentral lists this ribosomal RNA (254 nucleotides) under uncultured prokaryote. Its description in RNAcentral is "partial 16S ribosomal RNA". It matches the Rfam family "Bacterial small subunit ribosomal RNA", at positions 521 to 774 of the family's 1533-position model. The record is from RNAcentral.
UAAUACGGAAUGUGCAAACGCUAUUCGGAAUCACUGGGCUUAAAGAGUCCGUAGGCGGCUUGUUAGGUGAGGUGUGAAAUCCCUCGGCCCAACCGAGGAAUUGCGCUUCAAACCGGCAAGCUAGAGGAGGAUAGAGGUGGGCGGAACUGAUGGUGGAGCGGUGAAAUGCGUUGAUAUCAUCAGGAACACCGGAGGCGAAGGCGGUCCACUGGGUCCUUUCUGACGCUGAGGGACGAAAGCUAGGGGAGCGAACG